CCUACGGGUGGCUGCAGUGAGGAAUAUUGGUCAAUGGACGAGAGUCUGACCCAGCCAAGUAGCGUGAAGGAUGACUGCCCUAUGGGUUGUAAACUUCUUUUAUAUGGGAAUAAAAUGUUCCACGUGUGGGAUUUUGUAUGUACCAUAUGAAGAAGGAACGGCUAACUCCGUGCCAGCAGCCGCGGUAAUACGGAGGAUCCGAUCGUUAUCCGGUUUUAUUGGGUUUAAAGGGAGCGUAGGUGGAUUGUUAAGUCAGUUGUGAAAGUUUGCGGCUCAACCGUAAAAUUGCAGUUGAAACUGGCAGUCUGGAGUACAGGAGAGGUGGGCGGAAUUCGUGGUGUAGCGGUGAAAUGCUUAGAUAUCACGAAGAACUCCGAUUGCGAAGGCAGCUUACUGGACUGCAACUGACACUGAGGCUCGAAAGUGUGGGUAUCAAACAGGAUUAGAUACCCCUGUAGUC
This 460-nucleotide ribosomal RNA is filed under the name uncultured bacterium. RNAcentral describes it as "partial 16S ribosomal RNA". It matches the Rfam family "Bacterial small subunit ribosomal RNA", at positions 338 to 795 of the family's 1533-position model. The record is from RNAcentral.